Molecule: long non-coding RNA, 757 nt
Filed under: Vigna radiata
Lineage: Eukaryota; Viridiplantae; Streptophyta; Magnoliopsida; Fabales; Fabaceae
Description: long non-coding RNA (VRAD_LNC004900)
Source: RNAcentral
UUUGAAUGAAUAUUGUGUGAGAACGCAUGUUGUGUGAGGUAUUGAGCUCCAGAGUUUUCAUUGUUGUAUGUGUUGUUCACAGGAAAGCAUGAAUGAUAUUGCCUUAACCUUGAUGAUUGAUUGAAUUGCAUGUGAAUGUCAUAUGAUCAAGGCCAUUUUUGAAAACCCUUCUCUAGCCAAAUUUUCACCCAAAGUGCUUGAAAAUAUUAUACCCUUUUUGAACCUCAGCCUUAAACAGGAUGUGAACCCUUGUCUUGACAUUCUUUACCUUGAGUUGGGAUGAGCUUAAUUGUAUGUGAUGAAAAGGUUCAAGUUUGGGGUUGCAUGGGGGAAACUGAAAGGCAAUUGAAAAAGCAUUGAGCUCAAAAGUUGUUAAAGAAAAAUACAUGAGAAAAAGAAAAGAAAAGAAGAAAAAGCAUGAAGAUGAGCUUAGUGAAAAAGAAAAGGGAAAUAGUUGGGAAUAAGUGAGAUUGGUGAGGAAGAGAGUUGUUCUUGAAUGUUGAAUAUUAUGAUAGCUCUCUUAACUCAAGGACUUUGCAUUCCAAAAAAACCAAUUUUCUUGUUAGCCCAGCCUCAUUACAAGCCUUGGAAAAGUCCUUUUGAUGGCAUUUGCAUGUAAGAAUUUUGGUUGUUUUAGAUGAAUGGCAAUUUUGUUUCAUGUGACUAGUGAAUGUUAGAGAGUCGGAGUGUUACCUCAAACACUUAAGUGAUUGAGUGAAACACUUGCCUGGUGAGAAUUGCUAAAUUUCAUGAUUGC